This 497-nucleotide ribosomal RNA is filed under the name uncultured bacterium. RNAcentral describes it as "partial 16S ribosomal RNA". It matches the Rfam family "Bacterial small subunit ribosomal RNA", at positions 28 to 507 of the family's 1533-position model. The record is from RNAcentral.
GAUGAACGCUGGCGGCGUGCCUAAUACAUGCAAGUCGAGCGAACGGACGAGAAGCUUGCUUCUCUGAUGUUAGCGGCGGACGGGUGAGUAACACGUGGAUAACCUACCUAUAAGACUGGGAUAACUUCGGGAAACCGGAGCUAAUACCGGAUAAUAUUUUGAACCGCAUGGUUCAAAAGUGAAAGACGGUCUUGCUGUCACUUAUAGCUGGAUCCGCGCUGCAUUAGCUAGUUGGUAAGGUAACGGCUUACCAAGGCAACGAUGCAUAGCCGACCUGAGAGGCUGAUAGGCCACACUGGAACGGAGACGCGGUCCAGACUCCUACGGGAGGCAGCAGUAGGGAAUCUUACGCAAUGGGCGAAAGCCUGACGGAGCAACGCCGCGUGAGUGAUGAAGGUCUUCGGAUCGUAAAACUCUGUUAUUAGGGAAGAACAUAUGUGUAAGGAACUGUGCACAUCUUGACGGUACCUAAUCAGAAAGCCACGGCUAACUACGUG